RNAcentral lists this ribosomal RNA (301 nucleotides) under uncultured bacterium. RNAcentral's name for it is "partial 16S ribosomal RNA". It matches the Rfam family "Bacterial small subunit ribosomal RNA", at positions 509 to 807 of the family's 1533-position model. The record is from RNAcentral.
CAGCCGCCGCGGUAAUACAGAGUGUGCGAGCGUUAAUCGGAUUUACUGGGCGUAAAGCGUGCGUAGGCGGCUUUUUAAGUCGGAUGUGAAAUCCCUGAGCUUAACUUAGGAAUUGCAUUCGAUACUGGGAAGCUAGAGUAUGGGAGAGGAUGGUAGAAUUCCAGGUGUAGCGGUGAAAUGCGUAGAGAUCUGGAGGAAUACCGAUGGCGAAGGCAGCCAUCUGGCCUAAUACUGACGCUGAGGUACGAAAGCAUGGGGAGCAAACAGGAUUAGAUACCCGUGUAGUCCCUGUCUCUUAUAC